This 72-nucleotide transfer RNA is filed under the name Oscillospiraceae bacterium. RNAcentral describes it as "tRNA-Met". It matches the Rfam family "tRNA". From Rfam's summary of the family: Transfer RNA (tRNA) molecules are approximately 80 nucleotides in length. Their secondary structure includes four short double-helical elements and three loops (D, anti-codon, and T loops). The record is from RNAcentral. Lineage: Bacteria; Bacillati; Bacillota; Clostridia; Eubacteriales; Oscillospiraceae.
GGCAGAGUAGAGCAAUGGCAGCUUGCAAGGCUCAUAACCUUGAAAUUGGCGGUUCAAUUCCGCCCUCUGCAA